AAAUGGGGCGGGAUACCAUGCAGUCGAGCGGUAGAGAGAGCUUGUGUCUCUGGGUGACGAGGGACGGGUGAGUGAGCCUGUGAGGUGAUAGCCCGUGGGGGAGGGAUUCGGAUGCGGACGCUGAUACCGACCGCGUCCUACGGGAGAAAGCAGGAGGGGGUCCGGCCGUGCGCUCUCUAAUGAACGAAGGUCGGAUUAACUAGUUGGUGAGGGGGGGGAUGGCCCAGGUGACCAACCAUACCUGGCUGGAGAGGAAGAACGACCACCCUGGAACUGACUGACAGACCAGACUCAUACCGGAGGCAGGCGUGGGUGGGAAUGAUUGAUGAAUGGGCGCCUGAUCGAGGCAUGCCUGCCGUGUGUAUGAGGACUUCGGAUUGGUUGGAACUUACUUUUGGGGGGAAGGAAAGUUACGUAAUUAAUGAUUGUUUUGAUGUUACCUACCGAAUAAACACCGGCCGGCUCUGUGCCAGCAGCCGCGGGCGGUAAGAGGGUGCAAGCGUUAAUCGGAAUUACUUACUCGUAAAGCGCGCGCACGGUGGUUUGUUUGUUAAGGAUGUGAAUGAAAUCGGGGUCAACCUGCUGACUGCUGUCUUUACUGACUGGACUACUUGAGGCUUGAGGGAGGGUGGGUAUUACUCGUGGAGUGGCGAUGUGCUGCGAUAUAGAUCUGGAGGAAUAGUGGUGGACGAAGACGCCCUCGCUGGAACACUGACUGAUGCUCUGCGUAAAGAAAGCGUGAGCAACAAACAUGAUAUACCCAUCGCUGGUCCACGCACGUCGUAGACGACGUCUACUUGUAGGUAGCCUCCAUCGACGUAGUGGGCCGCAGCUACUACAGUCAAUUUAGACCGACCUGCUUGAGUACGUGACCGCCAGCGAUUGAUUAAUACCUCUGCAUGUAGAUGACGGGCCCGUCACCCAGCAGCCGCAAGCAUGCAUGUUGUAUUUACGUACGCAUGCGACGACGAGCAUUACGCUAGCUCUCAUCGUACAAUCUGGACGGUAUUCUAGAAAAUAGAUUUCGUUGCCGUUCAUUCAACGAUUCGAUGAAAGACAGCUGCAUGGCAUGUAGUUCAGCUAGCUCGCGUGCAUAGAAUGAUUGUGAGUUAAUCUUCACGAACGGAGGCCAUCGUUCAUUAAUUA
This 1146-nucleotide ribosomal RNA is filed under the name Pseudomonas sp. LChit57. Its description in RNAcentral is "partial 16S ribosomal RNA". The stretch from base 1 to 897 matches the Rfam family "Bacterial small subunit ribosomal RNA". Lineage: Bacteria; Pseudomonadati; Pseudomonadota; Gammaproteobacteria; Pseudomonadales; Pseudomonadaceae. The record is from RNAcentral.